This 906-nucleotide ribosomal RNA is filed under the name Hermatomyces jinghaensis. Its description in RNAcentral is "partial large subunit ribosomal RNA". It matches the Rfam family "Eukaryotic large subunit ribosomal RNA", at positions 36 to 960 of the family's 3401-position model. The record is from RNAcentral. Lineage: Eukaryota; Fungi; Ascomycota; Dothideomycetes; Pleosporales; Hermatomycetaceae.
UAGCAUAUCAAUAAGCGGAGGAAAAGAAACCAACAGGGAUUGCCCUAGUAACGGCGAGUGAAGCGGCAAGAGCUCAAAUUUGAAAUCUGGCUCCUUUGGAGUCCGAGUUGUAAUUUGUAGAGGGUGCUUUGGUGUUGGCCAUGGCCUAAGUUCCUUGGAACAGGACGUCACAGAGGGUGAGAACCCCGUACGUGGCCGCUGGUCUUCACCGUGUAAAGCCCCUUCGACGAGUCGAGUUGUUUGGGAAUGCAGCUCUAAAUGGGAGGUAAAUUUCUUCUAAAGCUAAAUAUUGGCCAGAGACCGAUAGCGCACAAGUAGAGUGAUCGAAAGAUGAAAAGCACUUUGGAAAGAGAGUCAAAAAGCACGUGAAAUUGUUGAAAGGGAAGCGCUUGCAGCCAGACUUGCCCGUAGUCGCUCAUCCGAGCUCUUGCUCGGUGCAUUCUUCUGCGGGCAGGCCAGCAUCAGUCCGGGCGGUCGGAUAAAGGCUCUGGGAAUGUAGCUCUCUUCGGGGAGUGUUAUAGCCCAGUGUGUCAUGCGACCAGGCUGGACUGAGGUCCGCGCAUCUGCUAGGAUGCUGGCGUAAUGGCUGUAAGCGGCCCGUCUUGAAACACGGACCAAGGAGUCUAACAUCUAUGCGAGUGUUUGGGUGUCAAGCCCGGGCGCGCAAUGAAAGUGAACGGAGGUGGGAACCCUUCGGGGCGCACCAUCGACCGAUCCUGAUGUCUUCGGAUGGAUUUGAGUAAGAGCAUAGCUGUUGGGACCCGAAAGAUGGUGAACUAUGCCUGAAUAGGGUGAAGCCAGAGGAAACUCUGGUGGAGGCUCGCAGCGGUUCUGACGUGCAAAUCGAUCGUCAAAUUUGGGCAUAGGGGCGAAAGACUAAUCGAACUAUCUAGUAGCUGGUUCCUG